This 5171-nucleotide long non-coding RNA is filed under the name Medicago truncatula (barrel medic). RNAcentral's name for it is "long non-coding RNA (MTRU_LNC003660)". The record is from RNAcentral. Lineage: Eukaryota; Viridiplantae; Streptophyta; Magnoliopsida; Fabales; Fabaceae.
GGUAUGGUAUGAAUCAGGUGGUGUCCGUUCUGGGAGGUAGAGGUGGCAGACUUGCAUAUGCCUUUCUGAUAAAUUUCACCACAAUAGAAUUCUUUGAAUUGUGUGUCUCCCUUCAUUCAUCAGGACCACUAUAUAUAUAUACACAUUAUAAUCAACUGUUACAGACUGUUACAUAUCUACAAGCCUUAGGGAUUCCAGCCAUUAAUCACAACUAUAAUCAAGCUACUCCUAAAUAUAAGGUAACUGCAACACUCAGUAGCACCACAUUAAUCUGAAAUAAAUAACAAUAAUAUCACAAUAAUCCCAAUACCCCCCCUCAAGUUGGAGCAUGAAGAUCUCGAAUGCCUAACUUGCGAAGGAGGAACUCAAAUUGUGCUUUUCCCAAGGCCUUUGUAAAAAUGUCCGCUAAUUGUACUGAUGUAGGAACAUACAGUGGACAGAUAAUUCCAGCCACCACGGCAUCACGGACAAAGUGACAAUCAGCUUCAAUAUGCUUUGUUCGUUCAUGAAACACAGGAUUUUGAGCUAUAUGCAACGCUGAUUUACUAUCACAGUAUAAUUGCAUCCCUUGGGAAUGACUAACUCCCAAAUCACCAAGUAACUGCUUGAGCCAUUUUAACUCACAUGUAGUCAUCGCCAUAGAGCGAUACUCAGCCUCUGCAGAAGAACGAGAGACGGUUGGCUGUUUCUUAGUUUUCCAAGACACCGGAGAAAGACCAAGUAACACCACCCAUCCAGUCAAAGAACGUCUCGUAAGGGGACAACUCGCCCAAUCCGAGUCACACCAUCCCUCUAGUUUCAAUUCACUAUCAGACCGAAGUAGAAUACCUUGGCCCGGGUGUUUCUUCAAGUAUCUAACAACCCUUAAGGCUGCUUCCCAAUGCUCUUCACAUGGUUUCUGCAUAAACUGAGACAAAAUAUGUACAGAAUAGGCAAGAUCUGGUCUAGUCACAGACAAGUAAAUCAACCUCCCAAUAAGUCUUCGAUAUGGUUCUGGAUCUUCAAGUGGCUUACCAGAAACCAAUGCUAGCUUAUGGUGCUGUUCCAUCGGAAAAUCUGCAGGCUUGGCGCCUAAUAAACCUGUUUCAUCAAUAAUUUCCAACGCAUAUUUUCUCUGGCAUAGAUAGAUUCCCUCGUGAUUACGAGCUACCUCCAGCCCCAAAAAAUAUUUCAAGACUCCCAGAUCCUUCAUAUGAAAGCAUACACCUAAGUAAGCUUUAAAAAUUUUCAAGGCUGCAAUAUCAUUCCCUGCUAUAAUCAAGUCAUCCACAUAAACUAGCACGUUGAUCUGUAUUUCUCCCCUAUGCAAAGUAAAGAGUGAGUAAUCUGAAUAGGAUUGAACAAAUCCAUAUCGCUUCAAUGCCGUUACCAACUUAGCAAACCAACAACGAGGAGCUUGUUUCAAACCGUACAAUGACUUUUUCAACCUGCAAACUAGAUUUGGGUCAGUGUUUUUAAAACCUGGAGGAACUUUCAUAUACACCUCCUCUUCCAAGUCACCAUGGAGAAAGGCAUUGUGUACAUCCAUUUGAUGUACUUCCCACUUUUUAAUUGCUGCCACCGCCAAGAAGGUACGAACAGUGACCAUUUUUGCCACCGGGACAAAUGUCUCAUCAUAGUCUAUUCCCUCUAUCUGAUGGUGCCCGAAUACAAUAAGUCUUGCUUUCAAUCGUUCUAUACUCCCAUCUGAGUGAUGUUUUAUUUUAUAUACCCAUUUACUUCCGAGUGCUUUCUUCCCGGGCGGCAGUUUCUCCAUAACCCAUGUCUCAUUGUCUUCCAAGGCUUGUAUCUCAUUGCGCAUUGCAUCACGCCAACCAGAAUCUUUUACGGCUUCCUUAAAAUUAUUUGGUUCUUUCCCUGCUGUCACAGCUGCAACAAAAUUUCGAUGUCUAAUAGAAAAUCGUUCACAAGAUACAAAGUAAGUAAUAGGAUAAGGAGUACCUGAGGCAUCUUCUUGGGCAGAUGAACUUUUCGAUGACUUUACUUUUCGGAUCGUAUGAGUGACAAAAUCCUUGAGUUUUAUAUUCGGAACUUUGUUUCUCAUCCCCCUUCCCAUCUCAGAUGCCACGAUUGCCUCCCUCUCAGCAACCACCUCUGGCUCUCCGGGCUCCACAUCAUCCUCCUGCAUCACCACAACAUCAGCCCCAUCAACUUCGUGUGCGGGUUCUACCUCGCCCUCUAUACCACUUACACUUAAUCCCUCAUUGGCUGCCACAUCAGCUCCAUUACAGUCUCCGUGCAACCCCCCUUGGAGCUGUGUCUGCUCAUUGUCUUGCAAGGCCAUGGAUGCACCCCCUCCUUCAAAUGAUGCAUCAUAAGUUUCAAACCCAAUAUCUUCAGUAACAUACUCAGAAUCAAUAAAAGGAGUAGAAUGAGUUGUGUCUAGUUGCACAUCAAAUGGAAAUUCAUGUUCAUAAAAUUUCACAUCUCUAGAGACAAUGUAUUCUUUGGAUUCCAAAUCAUACAAUUUCCAUCCUUUUUUCCCAUAGGGAUACCCCACAAAUAUGCACUUGCGACUUCUACUUGCAAACUUAUCCCCGUCACGUCGUUGAUUAUGGGCAUAACAUAAGCAACCAAAAAUCUUCAUGUUAUGAAAUUUAGGAACUUUACCAAAUAGUUUUUCAUAAGGUGUCUUAUAAUUCAACACACUAGACGGUGUUCGAUUAAUCAAAUAGCACGCUGUCAACACACAUUCACCCCAGAAUUGCAUUGGUAAAUGACCCUGAAAUCUAAGUGCUCGUGCCACAUUCAUUAUAUGCUGAUGUUUUCGUUCAACUCUCCCAUUUUGUUGUGGAGUACCCACACACGACGUCUCAAACACAAUUCCGUUAUUAAAAAAAUAAUCACGUAGACAAUUAAAUUCGGUGCCAUUGUCACUACGUACUUUCUUUAUUUUCUUAUCAAAUUGUCUAUCAACAAAUGCCACAAAAUUCAGAAACAUAGUCUCAAUCUCAGUCUUAUUGCAUAACAAAUAAACCCAAACAGCACGUGAAUAAUCAUUAACAAUUGUCAAGUAAUAUUGCGCCCCACACGACGAACGAGUUCGAUAAGACCCCCAUAAGUCACAAUGAACUAAUUCAAACAAACUCGCUGCAUUAUUCUCACUUAAUGGAAAACUAUCCCUAUGUUGUUUGGCACGAGGACAAACAUCACAAGGUCUAUUAUUCUUGCUCCUACUAUGCUGACUGACAUGAGGAAUGAACUUUAACACCUUUUCUGACGGAUGACCCAAACGUUUAUGCCAUAAAUCCAUUGUUGAAUCCCCUUCCACCAUCAAGGCAUGCACCUUCGGAACACCCCGAAAAAAGUAAAGUCCAUCGAUCCGUUCACCUGCUCCAAUCAACGUCCUCGUCGUCCGGUCCUGUAUUACACACAAUGCAUUAGUAAAUUGAACGAUACAAUUAGAGUCAUCGAUUAGUUGAGUAACAGAAAUUAAGUUGCAAGUUAAUUGAGGCACAAAAAGAACAUUAUUGAGCCGCAAUCCACCAUCCAAAAUCACACUGCCCUCUUGUAUAGCAGUCGCAUCUUUCCCAUUCGGCAAGCCCACCGGAGUGUUUGUAAUUCUUUUUCCGUUAAUCAGACAAGAAAAAUUUCCUGUCACAUGGUGUGAGGCACCCGUGUCAAUAAUCCAAGAAAUAUCAUUCUUACCGUGCAGGCGAUCCUUGGUUUUGGAAAUAUUCAAAGCGUCAAGAAUUUGUUGCCAUUGCGCCGGAGUAAUGCCUGAUAUACCUGCUGCCUCACUUGAGUGUGGUGGUGCAUGAGACUGUCCACUAUUACCACCAAUACUACGGCUACUUGUCGUGGCUUUGUUGGCUCGUGCAGGUGCGUUAUAGGUGCCCCUGCCACGUCCUCCAGAACGGCCUGUUGUGUCUCUCCCUGUUGUCGCUCCGCCACGACCCGAUCCACGACCACCACGAGGACGAUCUCCCCACCACUCAGGGAAUCCAUGAAUCUGAAAACAUGUGCGUUCGUCGUGUCCUUCUCUGUUGCAGUGAGUACAGAAUUUGUCAGAAUUGUCCACAAGUUUAGAUUUACCUCGUGUAUCGGGAGCAACUUUAAAAGCCAUGACAUUAUCACGGUUCUGUUGAAUUGAAUAUUCUCCUUGCCGCAACCUCUCAUCCUGUAUGACUCGCUGAUAUGCUUGAUCAAUGUUUGGUAACGGAUCUUGAGAAAGCAAAUUUGAUCGAAUUAUUGCAUAAGCCCCAUCAAGGCCCAUAAGAAAAUGAUGCAGAUAGUCUUCAGCACUCAAAUCAGUGACUUGUUUGUUGAUAUCACAGAUGCAACCUUCACAUUUGCAUGUUGGCUUUUUGACAUAAGUCACAAGUUCGUCCCAUAUACGAGACAGACGGCCAAAGUAGGCCGACACCUCUUCACCUUUGCCUUGCUUGCAUUCUCCUAGCGAUGCCUUUAAUUGACAUAUACGAGCCCCAUUCACAACGCAAAAGCGCUGCUUAAGAUGUGUCCACAAUGAUUCUGCAUCAUCAUAAUAAGAAAGAGUAGAGCGCAGUGAUGGCUCGAUAGUGUUGAGCAACCACGCUAUGAGCAUCGACUGCACUGCUUUCCAGUCCUCCAAUUUCUCAGGUGUCGUUGGUUUUGGGAUUUUCCCUUCCACAAAACCGUAUUUUCUCUUUGCUUGGAACGAGGUUCGAAUUGCCCUUGACCAUUCAUCAUAAUUCAGACCACGCAAUUGUAUUGGUGUAAUCACGUUGCCGGGAUUGUCAUUAGAGCCGAGAAAAAAAACCAAGUCCACCUUCUUCUCGCUGUUACUAUUGUUGUCGUCAACUUUCUUCCCGCCAUCACCACUGUUCUCACCCAUAAUCUCUUAUGGUGCCUGAUCUGGUAUGAGAAAAAAAAAUGUGAUUAAUUUUCCCUAGGAUAUUUGCUAGCUCGUGAUACCAUGAUAAAUUUCACCACAAUAGAAUUCUUUGAAUUGUGUGUCUCCCUUCAUUCAUCAGGACCACUAUAUAUAUAUACACAUUAUAAUCAACUGUUACAGACUGUUACAUAUCUACAAGCCUUAGGGAUUCCAGCCAUUAAUCACAACUAUAAUCAAGCUACUCCUAAAUAUAAGGUAACUGCAACACUCAGUAGCACCACAUUAAUCUGAAAUAAAUAACAAUAAUAUCACAAUAAUCCCAAUACUUUCCUUGGUGUAGAGGUAUUUCUCUUUU